This 65-nucleotide transfer RNA is filed under the name Dipodomys ordii (Ord's kangaroo rat). It matches the Rfam family "tRNA". From Rfam's summary of the family: Transfer RNA (tRNA) molecules are approximately 80 nucleotides in length. Lineage: Eukaryota; Metazoa; Chordata; Mammalia; Rodentia; Heteromyidae. The record is from Rfam by way of RNAcentral.
GGUGGCUCAGUGGUAAGAGUGCUUGCCUUGCAUGCAUGAAGCCUGGGUUCAAUUCCUCAGCACCA